AUUGAACGCUGGCGGCAUGCUUUACACAUGCAAGUCGAACGGUAGAGGGGGCAACCCCUUGAGAGUGGCGAACGGGUGAGUAAUGCAUCGGAACGUGCCCAGUCGUGGGGGAUAACGCAGCGAAAGCUGUGCUAAUACCGCAUACGAUCUGUGGAUGAAAGCGGGGGACCGAAAGGCCUCGCGCGAUUGUAGCGGCCGAUGUCAGAUUAGGUAGUUGGUGGGGUAAAGGCUCACCAAGCCAACGAUCUGUAGCUGGUCUGAGAGGACGACCAGCCAAACUGGGACUGAGACACGGCCCAGACUCCUACGGGAGGCAGCAGUGGGGAAUUUUGGACAAUGGGCGCAAGCCUGAUCCAGCAAUGCCGCGUGCAGGAAGAAGGCCUUCGGGUUGUAAACUGCUUUUGUACGGAACGAAAAGGUCUGGGUUAAUACCCUGGGCACAUGACGGUACCGUAAGAAUAAGCACCGGCUAACUACGUGCCAGCCGCCGCAGUAA
This 496-nucleotide ribosomal RNA is filed under the name uncultured bacterium. RNAcentral describes it as "partial 16S ribosomal RNA". It matches the Rfam family "Bacterial small subunit ribosomal RNA", at positions 30 to 523 of the family's 1533-position model. The record is from RNAcentral.